Non-coding RNA from Ixodes scapularis (black-legged tick), 82 nucleotides. The record is from Rfam. NCBI's taxonomy places the organism in Eukaryota, Metazoa, Arthropoda, Arachnida, Ixodida, Ixodidae.
GCAGUCGUGGCCAAGGGGGUAAGGCGAUGGACUAGAAAUCCAUUGGGAUCUCCCCGCACAGAUUUGAAUCCUGUCAACUGCG